GUGGGGAAUAUUGGGCAAUGGGCGAAAGCCUGACCCAGCAACGCCGCGUGAAGGAAGAAGGUCUUCGGAUCGUAAACUUCUAUCCUUGGUGAAGAUAAUGACGGUAGCCGAGAAGGAAGCCCCGGCUAACUACGUGCCAGCAGCCGCGGUAAUACGUAGGGGGCAAGCGUUGUCCGGAAUGAUUGGGCGUAAAGGGCGCGUAGGCGGCCUGGUAAGUCUGGAGUGAAAGUCCUGCUUUUAAGGUGGGAAUUGCUUUGGAUACUGUCGGGCUUGAGUGCAGGAGAGGUAAGUGGAAUUCCCGGUGUAGCGGUGAAAUGCGUAGAGAUCGGGAGGAACACCAGUGGCGAAGGCGACUUACUGGACUGUAACUGACGCUGAGGCGCGAAAGUGUGGGGAACAAACAGGAUUAGAAACCCGGGUAGUCC
RNAcentral lists this ribosomal RNA (425 nucleotides) under uncultured bacterium. RNAcentral describes it as "partial 16S ribosomal RNA". It matches the Rfam family "Bacterial small subunit ribosomal RNA", at positions 354 to 796 of the family's 1533-position model. The record is from RNAcentral.